GGGUCAGUAGGUUGGUCGUGCCACCGGUACGUACUGGUCUCACUGAUACCCCCUUCCUGAAGAACCGUAAUGCCAUUAAUUUGGUGUUGCGGGGAAACAGGACUGUUACUUUGAAAAAAUUAGAGUGUUUAAAGCAAGCUAACGCUUGAAUACAUUAGCAUGGAAUAAUGAAAUAGGACGAUCGAUCCUAUUUUGUUGGUUUCUAGGAUUGACGUA
This 216-nucleotide ribosomal RNA is filed under the name Glomeromycotina sp. RNAcentral's name for it is "partial small subunit ribosomal RNA". The stretch from base 54 to 216 matches the Rfam family "Eukaryotic small subunit ribosomal RNA", at positions 700 to 864 of the family's 1831-position model. The record is from RNAcentral. Lineage: Eukaryota; Fungi; Glomeromycota.